RNAcentral lists this ribosomal RNA (297 nucleotides) under Triticum aestivum (bread wheat). RNAcentral's name for it is "partial small subunit ribosomal RNA". Lineage: Eukaryota; Viridiplantae; Streptophyta; Magnoliopsida; Poales; Poaceae. The record is from RNAcentral.
AUGAGGCUGUUCUUCAAGCUCUUCGCCGUCUUGGCCAUCAUGGCUGCUCUGUCGGCCACAAAUGUGCCGUCGCCAGUUGGUGUGUGGGCGAGGACGCCGGGGAGAGCGCCACCUUCGCCAACGCCGUCCGCGCUCAGGGGUCGCGUGAAGCCGAUUAAUCCCGCGCCACAGCCUCCGCCACCAGCGGAAAUGGGUAGAGUGCGGCCAUUGUGUUCACCGCCUCCGCGACCAUCACCAAAUCACCAGCGAAGCGUCGGCUCUACGCACUUUCCUCCACCACCAUUACGGUGCCACUAG